This 510-nucleotide ribosomal RNA is filed under the name uncultured bacterium. RNAcentral describes it as "partial 16S ribosomal RNA". It matches the Rfam family "Bacterial small subunit ribosomal RNA", at positions 28 to 507 of the family's 1533-position model. The record is from RNAcentral.
GACGAACGCUGGCGGCGUGCUUAAUACAUGCAAGUCGAACGAAGAGCGAUGGAAGCUUGCUUCUAUCAAUCUUAGUGGCGAACGGGUGAGUAACGCGUAAUCAACCUGCCCUUCAGAGGGGGACAACAGUUGGAAACGACUGCUAAUACCGCAUACGAUCUAAUCUCGGCAUCGAGGAUAGAUGAAAGGUGGCCUCUACAUGUAAGCUAUCACUGAAGGAGGGGAUUGCGUCUGAUUAGCUAGUUGGAGGGGUAACGGCCCACCAAGGCGAUGAUCAGUAGCCGGUCUGAGAGGAUGAACGGCCACAUUGGGACUGAGACACGGCCCAGACUCCUACGGGAGGCAGCAGUGGGGAAUCUUCCGCAAUGGACGAAAGUCUGACGGAGCAACGCCGCGUGAGUGAUGACGGCCUUCGGGUUGUAAAGCUCUGUUAAUCGGGACGAAAGGCCUUCUUGCGAAUAGGGAGAAGGAUUGACGGUACCGGAAUAGAAAGCCACGGCUAACUACGUG